RNAcentral lists this ribosomal RNA (275 nucleotides) under uncultured bacterium. Its description in RNAcentral is "partial 16S ribosomal RNA". It matches the Rfam family "Bacterial small subunit ribosomal RNA", at positions 523 to 796 of the family's 1533-position model. The record is from RNAcentral.
AUACGAGUGGGGCUAGCGUUAUUCGGAUUUACUGGGUGUAAAGGGCGUGUAGGUGGCUUGGUAUGUUAGGUGUGAAAUCCCUCGGCUUACCCGAGGAACUGCAUCUAAAACUACUAGGCUUGAGUAUCGGAGAGGAAAGUGGAAUUCCUGGUGUAGCGGUGAAAUGCGUAGAUAUCAGGAGGAACGCCGGUGGCGAAAGCGACUUUCUGGACGAAUACUGACACUAACAGCGCGAAAGCUAGGGGAGCGAACGGGAUUAGAAACCCCAGUAGUCC